CCUGGGGUCUGCUCAUCUUGAUUAUUUACAAAAACACUAGAUCUAUGGAUUAGAAUAGCGCAAACGCGAAAUUAAACAAAAGCCCUCAUCGAUCGGCACAAAUUUACAGAAAUAGACAACAAAAAAUGAACCGUAGAUGCUUCUUCUAGGGAAGAAAUAAUAAUCUUAGAUCUACACAAAACCAAUUAAAAAAAAAAAUCCAAAAG
Molecule: unclassified non-coding RNA, 206 nt
Filed under: Hevea brasiliensis (rubber tree)
Lineage: Eukaryota; Viridiplantae; Streptophyta; Magnoliopsida; Malpighiales; Euphorbiaceae
Source: RNAcentral